Molecule: ribosomal RNA, 774 nt
Filed under: uncultured Neocallimastigales
Lineage: Eukaryota; Fungi; Neocallimastigomycota; Neocallimastigomycetes; Neocallimastigales
Description: partial large subunit ribosomal RNA
Rfam family: Eukaryotic large subunit ribosomal RNA
Source: RNAcentral
UAUGUGAUCGUCUCUCGCAUAUCAAUAAGCGGAGGAAAAGAAACUAACAAGGAUUCCCCUAGUAACGGCGAGUGAAGCGGGAAGAGCUCAAAUUUGAAAUCUUAAAGGGUUUCCCUUUACGAAUUGUAGUUUAAAGAAGUGUUUUCUGUUGAGGUUUUGGUAAAAGUUCUUUGGAAUAGGACAUCAUAGAGGGUGAGAAUCCCGUAUUUGACCUUUACUUUCAACUUUGUGAUACACUUUCAAAGAGUCGGAUUGUUUGGGAAUGCAGUCCAAAAUGGGUGGUAAAUUUCAUCUAAAGCUAAAUAUUGGCGAGAGACCGAUAGCGAACAAGUACCGUGAGGGAAAGAUGAAAAGAACUUUGAAAAGAGAGUUAAACAGUACGUGAAAUUGUCAAAAGGGGAGCGUUUGACACCAGUGUUGUUUUUCUGAAAAUCAAUUAAAGAACUGUUUAUGCUAAGUUGUUUAGACUUUAUCAGCUAACUGUUUAGUUUUGAGCUUUUCUUUAAUGCACUUUUCAGUUAACAAGUCAACAUCAAUUUCUUUUGCUGUAAAAAAGCUUGAGGAAGGUGGCUUGAGAUUCGUCUUAAGUGUUUAUAGCCUCUUGCCUAUGCAGUCGGAGAGAUUGAGGUCUGCAGCGUAGAUCCUUCGGGGCUAAAUGCAUUUGUGCUAAGUUAUAGCAUUCUAUAGACAACUUGUUGACUAUGAUUUGUCUUGUAGCUUACUCGCUUAUGUUAUUUUACCUACGCUUAGGAUGUUGAAGUCAUCGUAUCGCGC